Molecule: ribosomal RNA, 374 nt
Filed under: uncultured organism
Description: bacterial SSU rRNA
Rfam family: Bacterial small subunit ribosomal RNA
Source: RNAcentral
CGCUUAACACAUGCAAGUCGCACGAGAAAGUGGAGCAAUCCAUGAGUACAGUGGCGCACGGGUGAGUAACACGUGGAUCAUCUACCUUUUAGUGGGGAAUACCUCCGGGAAACUGGAGACAAUACCGCAUAAGCUCGUAAGAGGAAAGCCGCAAGGCGCUGAAAGAGGAGUCCGCGGUCGAUUAGCUGGAUGGCGGGGUAAUGGCCCACCAUGGCGAAGAUCGAUAGCCGGCCUGAGAGGGCACACGGCCACACUGGCACUGAAACACGGGCCAGACUCCUACGGGAGGCAGCAGUGGGGAAUCUUGCACAAUGGAGGAAACUCUGAUGCAGCGACGCCGCGUGAGUGAUGAAGCCCUUCGGGGUGUAAAGCUC